RNAcentral lists this long non-coding RNA (259 nucleotides) under Lathyrus oleraceus (garden pea). Its description in RNAcentral is "Pisum sativum (pea) long non-coding RNA (PSAT_LNC010355)". The record is from RNAcentral. Lineage: Eukaryota; Viridiplantae; Streptophyta; Magnoliopsida; Fabales; Fabaceae.
CUACCAUAAGCUUAAAAAGACUCUAACAUCCAGAGUUAAAAUACAUGCACACAAAGAUCAAAAGGGCUUUUAUUUGGUUGUAACAUGGCCAAGGUAAGGGUGAGAUAAAUCCUUUUUUUUUCUAUUUUUUUUCUUUUUCUGCCAACUUCUGAAAUAUUACAAACAUAAUUAUUCAACCUCACACAACUCCAAACAAGACUCUUUCAACCCUUUGAAUAGGGUGAUAACAUUGUUUUUCACUUCCCGGCUUGUAAUGAAU